GGAAUAUUGGACAAUGGCCGCAAGGCUGAUCCAGCCAUCCAGCGUGCAGGAAGAAGGCCCUAUGGGUUGUAAACUGCUUUUGUCAGGGAAUAAACCUGUGGAUUUACUCCGCAGCUGAAGGUACCUGAACAAUAAGCACCGGCUAACUCCGUGCCAGCAGCCGCGGUCAUACGGAGGGUGCGAGCGUUCUCCGGAAUUACUGGGUUUAAAGGGUGCGUAGGCGGCCAAGUAAGUCAGGAGUGAAAGUUUGCGGCUCAACCGUAAAAUUGCUUUUGAUACUGCUUAGCUAGAAUCAGGAUGAGGUUAGCGGAAUGUGGCAUGUAGCGGUGAAAUGCAUAGAUAUGCCAUAGAACACCAAUUGCGAAGGCAGCUGGCUAGACCUGUAUUGACGCUGAGGCAUGAAAGCGUGGGGAGCGA
This 417-nucleotide ribosomal RNA is filed under the name uncultured bacterium. RNAcentral describes it as "bacterial SSU rRNA". It matches the Rfam family "Bacterial small subunit ribosomal RNA", at positions 358 to 771 of the family's 1533-position model. The record is from RNAcentral.